UACGGAGGGUGCAAGCGUUAUCCGGAUUCACUGGGCUUAAAGGGUGCGUAGGUGGGCAGGUAAGUCCGUGGUGAAAUCUCUGAGCUUAACUCAGAAACUGCCGUGGAUACUAUUUGUCUUGAAUAUUGUGGAGGUGAGCGGAAUAUGUCAUGUAGCGGUGAAAUGCUUAGAUAUGACAUAGAACACCGAUUGCGAAGGCAGCUCACUGCACAAUUAUUGACGCUGAGGCACGAAAGCGUGGGGAUCAAACAGG
RNAcentral lists this ribosomal RNA (253 nucleotides) under uncultured bacterium. RNAcentral's name for it is "partial 16S ribosomal RNA". It matches the Rfam family "Bacterial small subunit ribosomal RNA", at positions 524 to 776 of the family's 1533-position model. The record is from RNAcentral.